GUCCACAGCCUCCACGACGUCCACGACCUCCAGGACUCAAGUAUUGCAUAGAUUACACGGUUUGCUACAACGACUACCUUCAACGAGAAAGCCUUCCGAUAGAAGAAAAUGAGACACCUUCCGAUUUUGUUGAGGAAGUACUCUAUGUUGCCAAUCUCUCUCCCCAAACUAAAAUAUUGCAUGUCAAAGAAUUCUUCAAAGAUGUUGGAGAAGUUGUUAGUGUUCGACUUAUUGUAAACCAAGCAUGUGGGCUAUGGCUUUGUUGACUUUGCUUCUUCUAACGAAGCAAAGAAGGCGCUGCAAAAGAAGAAUGGUGAAUAUUUGCAUGAUCAUCAGAUUUUUCUUCAAGUGGCUAAGACAGCUCCAUACCCUACACGACCCAAGUACAACCUUGCAGAGAAGCUUUGUUACGAAGACUACCUUCGACGACAAAACCUUGUGAUAGAAUAAGAUGAGACAGCAGUGGAAGGACUUGAUGAAACUCCCAAUUUUGUUGAGGCAGUUGCUGUAAGAAAAAAGACGCUCUUUGUUUCCCGUCUCUCUCCGGAAGCUCAAAUAUCAGAUAUCAUCAAUUUCUUCAAAGACGUUGGACAAGUUGUACAUGUUCGACUUAUUGUAGACUACACGGGCGAGCAUGUGGGCGAUGGCUUUGUUGAGUUUGCUUCUGCUAACGAAGCAGAGAAGGUAAGAGUAGUUUAUAGUAAUGAUGGAAGGUAUUAAAGUAGUAAUUUAAAAAGUAUUUUUAUUAGAUAAGAAGAGCCAAGUAUCAUUAAAAGAAGAGCAGCAAAAACAAUAUUCAAAAUCAACAGCCAAGUAUAGAACAUUAGAUAAGAGAUCAGGAGCCACACCAAUUAAAUUACAGCGCCGGUGUUUUUCCCGGGAAGAUUUGAGAGCA
Molecule: non-coding RNA, 895 nt
Organism: Arabidopsis thaliana (thale cress)
Lineage: Eukaryota; Viridiplantae; Streptophyta; Magnoliopsida; Brassicales; Brassicaceae
Source: RefSeq